CAUACUAUACAGAGAUGCUGUAUGAGAAACCAAUCGUUCUGAGCAUGUCAGUUGGAGUUAUGACAUCAUCGUGUACCAUGGCAAGGGAUCGCCUAGCAUCGAGCAAACGUGAAAAUGGGCGCUACAUCUCGGCUACGUCGUGCGUUUAAAAGCGCUCAGCAGCUGACCUGAUCCCUCAUGCCUGCAGUCGGUGUGAUAAGUUUCAGCUUAGUCUCCAGGGGAUGUUGCGUCCUGUAGCCAGGCCGGCGAUGAGGAUGCCGAUGCCGACGAGGCCGUAGGUGUGAGUGCUCAUCGUGGACACUCUCUGCAUGGACGACUGGGCCAGCUCAGAGAAGCUGUUGAUCUGUGAGUGACAGGUUCAAUACUGUGGUCCAUCGUAAUGACUCGGGAGAACAUAUUGUUAGGAAAUCAAUGAAGAGAGAAUGUAUGCACUAAAA
Molecule: long non-coding RNA, 437 nt
Organism: Trematomus bernacchii (emerald rockcod)
Lineage: Eukaryota; Metazoa; Chordata; Actinopteri; Perciformes; Nototheniidae
Exons: 3
Source: RefSeq, a predicted model, not a curated record